RNAcentral lists this ribosomal RNA (497 nucleotides) under uncultured bacterium. RNAcentral's name for it is "partial 16S ribosomal RNA". It matches the Rfam family "Bacterial small subunit ribosomal RNA", at positions 28 to 507 of the family's 1533-position model. The record is from RNAcentral.
GACGAACGCUGGCGGCGUGCCUAAUACAUGCAAGUAGAACGCUGAAGAGAGGAGCUUGCUCUUCUUGGAUGAGUUGCGAACGGGUGAGUAACGCGUAGGUAACCUGCCUGGUAGCGGGGGAUAACUAUUGGAAACGAUAGCUAAUACCGCAUAAAAUGGAUUAUCGCAUGAUAAUCCAUUGAAAGGUGCAAAUGCAUCACUACCAGAUGGACCUGCGUUGUAUUAGCUAGUUGGUGGGGUAACGGCUCACCAAGGCGACGAUACAUAGCCGACCUGAGAGGGUGAUCGGCCACACUGGGACUGAGACACGGCCCAGACUCCUACGGGAGGCAGCAGUAGGGAAUCUUCGGCAAUGGACGGAAGUCUGACCGAGCAACGCCGCGUGAGUGAAGAAGGUUUUCGGAUCGUAAAGCCCUGUUGUAAGAGAAGAACGAGUGUGAGAGUGGAAAGUUCACACUGUGACGGUAUCUGACCAGAAAGGGACGGCUAACUACGUG